UACAGAGGUCCCAAGCGUUGUUCGGAUUCAUUGGGCGUAAAGGGUGCGUAGGUGGCGCUGUAAGUCGGGUGUGAAAUUUCGGAGCUUAACUCCGAAACUGCAUUCCAUACUGCGGUGCUUGAGGACUGGAGAGGAGACUGGAAUUUACGGUGUAGCAGUGAAAUGCGUAGAGAUCGUAAGGAAGACCAGUGGCGAAGGCGGGUCUCUGGACAGUUCCUGACACUGAGGAGCGAAAGCCAGGGGAGCAAACGGG
RNAcentral lists this ribosomal RNA (253 nucleotides) under uncultured bacterium. RNAcentral's name for it is "partial 16S ribosomal RNA". It matches the Rfam family "Bacterial small subunit ribosomal RNA", at positions 524 to 776 of the family's 1533-position model. The record is from RNAcentral.